AUUGAACGCUGGCGGCAUGCCUAACACAUGCAAGUCGAACGGCAGCACAGUAAAGAUUUCGGUCUUUAUGGGUGGCGAGUGGCGGACGGGUGAGUAAUGCGUAGGAAUCUGUCCUGGAGAGUAGGAUAACCCGUGGAAACUCGGGCUAAUACUGCAUGAUAUCGAGAGAUCAAAGGCAGGGGACCCUUCGGGGCCUUGCGCUCUAGGAUGAGCCUACGUCGGAUUAGCUAGUUGGGGGGGUAAAGGCCUCCCAAGGCGACGAUCCGUAGCUGGUCUGAGAGGAUGACCAGCCACACUGGGACUGAGACACGGCCCAGACUCCUACGGGAGGCAGCAGUGGGGAAUCUUGGACAAUGGGGGAAACCCUGAUCCAGCGAUGCCGCGUGUGUGAAGAAGGCCUUCGGGUUGUAAAGCACUUUAGUUGGGGAAGAAAAGUAAUGAGUGAAUAACUGAUUGCUCUGACGGUACCCAAAGAAUAAGCACCGGCUAACUCUGUGCCAGCCGCCGCAGUAA
This 513-nucleotide ribosomal RNA is filed under the name uncultured bacterium. RNAcentral describes it as "partial 16S ribosomal RNA". It matches the Rfam family "Bacterial small subunit ribosomal RNA", at positions 30 to 523 of the family's 1533-position model. The record is from RNAcentral.